GGAAGGGUGGCCGAGUUGGUUAUGGCGCCAGGUUAAGGUCAGCUUAACAUCUGUUUCCUGGUGGGGCAACCCGCGCGAGUUCGAGUCUCGUCCCUCUCA
Molecule: transfer RNA, 99 nt
Filed under: Colletotrichum fructicola Nara gc5
Lineage: Eukaryota; Fungi; Ascomycota; Sordariomycetes; Glomerellales; Glomerellaceae
Description: tRNA-Leu for anticodon AAG
Rfam family: tRNA
About the family: Transfer RNA (tRNA) molecules are approximately 80 nucleotides in length. Their secondary structure includes four short double-helical elements and three loops (D, anti-codon, and T loops).
Source: RNAcentral